This 1796-nucleotide long non-coding RNA is filed under the name Pogona vitticeps (central bearded dragon). RNAcentral describes it as "lncRNA (ENSPVIG00000014293.1)". The record is from RNAcentral. Lineage: Eukaryota; Metazoa; Chordata; Lepidosauria; Squamata; Agamidae.
AAAAUCUCCACAGCACCAGCAAGAGGAUUAAGAACACCCUGCUGGAGGGGGGCGCUUCUGCCCUAGAGCCAAGGACCCGAUGGGGUACAAGGGGCGAUCUUUUCUCUCCCUUCCCUCUCAGAUUCAGGAGUCCCUGAAGGGACCAUCCAGUUUCUUCAAACGCUCACAGAUCGUCUCAGAAACCGGGUGGUGGUCAAUCCGGAGAGACUUUCCCUCUGGAGCACCAAGGGUUUCUUCAGUUGAGUCCUUUCUCUCCUCAGCCUUUCCAAUCUCUCUCUCUCUCCCCACCCCUUGUCUCCCCCAUGACAGAAAGUGGCCAAGAUCCUUUCUUUCUCUGCUGCGGGGCAUUUGGGCCUCACCCUGGCCACAUUAGAGGACUGUGUUGCUGGGAUGGAGCUGAAAAUGAGGCCCUCCUCGCCCACCAGAAGUAUGACCAGAACAGCCGGUGAGGCCAGCUCCACCAAGUCCUGGUUUUCAUCUACGGCCAGAUUGCCCCCAGGCCCCGAAAGAGCUCCUGUCGCUGCAGUCGGAGACGGGCGUCCUGAAAAGAGCCCUCGGCCAUUACAGGUCCAGCUGCCAAGUAAGAAUGGGAAGCCGGCCGGGGGAUGGAUUCUCCCGGUUUUCAUCUACGGCCAGAUUGCCCUCCAGGCCCCAAAAGAGCUCCUGUCGCUGCAGGCAGAGACGGGCGUCCUGAAAAGAGCCCUCAGCCAUUACAGGUCCAGCUGCCAAGUAAAAAUGGGAAGCCGGCCAGGGGAUGGAUUCUCCUGGCCAGAGAGAGCCCUUGGGUGACUCCGGCGAAAUGGAGCCAGGAGGGAGCCGGUCGCGAUGGGGAGUGAUGGGAAGGGAAGGGUGGGAUUUCACCUCCCUUCAGACACAAGCAAAGUCACCUGCCCUAAAAGUCAGGUGCAGAGUUGCACCUUUUAUCGCUCAGGGUGCAUUAGCUUCUAGUCUUUUCUUACCUCACUGAGAACUGAACUAGAGGAUACGAUUUGGAAGAGGUGCUCCUCAAGUGGUAAAAGAGGUCUGGUUGCCAUUGUAUCUGAUUUUCAUCACUUUCAUAUCCUGCAUCUUGUAUGCUUUGUUUCAUAAGGGGUUCCCUUCAGUGUUAAUCUCUGAUUGCCUGGGCAUCUGGCUCUGAGGAAAUCCCUUUGUGGGGGCAGAAAGAAAAACAUACAGAGAGAGAAACAGGCAGAAUACAGUGGUGCCCCGCAUAGCGAGGUUAAUCCAUUCCGGAUUAACCAUCGCUAUGGGGAAACAUUGCUAUACGGUGCAAAAAAGCCCAUUUGGAAUGCAUUAAACGAAGCCCACUUCGUUUAAUGCGUUCCAAAUGGGCCCCAAAUUCACCGUUAUGCAAUGUUCCUCCAUAGCGGAGGUAUUUUCGCGCCCUCGGUAAGCGAGGGCAGGCUGGGAAAACGCUGCGCACGGCCAUUUUGCGUCUUCCGGCGGCCAUUUUGGAACCGCCGAUCAGCUGAUUUUUAAAAAAAGCUAUGCGAAGAUUGGUAAGCGAAAUGCUUACCGAUCGUCGCAAAGCGAGUUUUUGCCUAUCUAGGCAUCGGUAUGCGAUCGCAUUAGCGAUCCCAAAAAACGGAUCGCUAUGCGAAUUUGUCGUUAAAUGGUGCGCUCGUUAUGUGAGGCACCACUGUAUAUGUAUCACUCUUAAUGUUUGUAUUAACCCUUAAAUCUCACUUCCAUCAUUCAUAGCAAGCGGGGGUGAUAUAUGCCACUUGCCAUUUCGCUUUUGGGUUUUUCCCAUUUAGAACAAUAAAAAAAUAAUCCAAACAUUUGAGGGGGAAAAA